Molecule: non-coding RNA, 149 nt
Organism: Pelobates cultripes (western spadefoot toad)
Lineage: Eukaryota; Metazoa; Chordata; Amphibia; Anura; Pelobatidae
Source: the annotation of a GenBank genome assembly
GCUGACACGUCCCGGCCAAUCUCCAGCAGACCCUCCCUCCCAGACCCUCCUACUUCCUGGACAGCAUCCAUGUUGAAACAUGGAUGCUGUCCAGGAAAUAGGAGGGUCUGGGAGGGAGGGUCUGCUGGAGAUUGGCCAGGACCUGUGCU